Molecule: ribosomal RNA, 213 nt
Filed under: uncultured bacterium
Lineage: Bacteria
Description: partial 16S ribosomal RNA
Rfam family: Bacterial small subunit ribosomal RNA
Source: RNAcentral
CAGUUCGGAUUGUAGUCUGCAACUCGACUACAUGAAGCUGGAAUCGCUAGUAAUCGCGAAUCAGAAUGUCGCGGUGAAUACGUUCCCGGGUCUUGUACACACCGCCCGUCACACCAUGGGAGUCAGUAACGCCCGAAGUCAGUGACCCAACCAUAUAGGAGGGAGCUGCCGAAGGCGGGACCGAUAACUGGGGUGAAGUCGUAACAAGGUACC